GAGGUAGCAACACAUGUAGCCAAUAAUUAAGCAACCAAGGACCACAGAAAAGGUUUUGUUUUUGUAUUAAAAACCUGACAUGAGGUGAGUUGAAUGGUUUCUUUAGCUUGUAUUUCCAAGACCUAUCUUCUUUCUAACCUUACUAACACAUGCACUUUUCCUCUGUAAUUGUCUCUCUUUGUUGAUAUGUAUUUUAAAUAAAUUAUUAUUCCGUUUUGUAUUUAAAAAUCCUUUAGGACUUGAAUAAUCUUGUAUCAGUUUCUGUCUUUUGAGAUGGGCGUAGAGGAGUAUAAGACAGACAGACAGACAGACAGUGGCCAAUAGCACAACAAAUAGGAGAGCAUUGCAAGAAUCUGGAUACAGAGUAUUCACUAUGGCAACAGGCCAACAAUAAUCAACUUGACACAAACUUGCCAAGAAUCAGUCCCGCUGCGGGGGUCAACAGGCUGACUCCUCAAUGAGAGCACCAAGAGUAAUGAUGGGCAACAGUCCUAACAUGGAAUUGACAACUUGACUCCAUCCUCCUAUUUGGGAGCAAUCUGGUAUCAAAAGGAGAGUCCAGCACACAGCGGCCAAUUCUAAAG
Molecule: long non-coding RNA, 584 nt
Organism: Saccostrea cuccullata (small rock oyster)
Lineage: Eukaryota; Metazoa; Mollusca; Bivalvia; Ostreida; Ostreidae
Exons: 3
Source: RefSeq, a predicted model, not a curated record